Molecule: long non-coding RNA, 5326 nt
Filed under: Homo sapiens (human)
Lineage: Eukaryota; Metazoa; Chordata; Mammalia; Primates; Hominidae
Description: long non-coding RNA NONHSAT159731.1
Source: RNAcentral
AGAACAGGAGAGUGAAUCUUGGGGACCGAAGGGAAAAAGGAGCCACUCAGCAGCAUGCAGUGGCUUUGGGGAGACAGAGGAAAGGAGAGAUUGCGAGUGGCAGAAUUGUUUGGAAGGUUUUUAUUUUGGAAAAGCUGUGCAGAAAAAAAUUCAAGAAAAUGUUGCUGUGAAAAGAGAAAAACAAAUCUUAAGCAUUAAAAAAAAUUCAACCAACUAGCUCAGAAGAGGGGAGAAGGCCAAGGUUGAGAGAAGAGUCACAGCCUGUCAGGCAGAUAGCUGGCCUCCGGCGGGAAGGCCAUUUCCCUGAGCACUUGCAGAGGAAGACAGGGUGGUGGCAGGACUGGAGUGGCAGUGGCUCCCAAGGCUCUCUCCUCCAACAUGUGCAUCUGCCAUCUGCUCUGCAGUCCUGCCGCAGGAUUCCCUAGUGAAGCAGCUCAGGCCUGGGGGAGCCGUGUGUAUCCCAGCUGUGCCGGCAGCAUCAUACCAAUCGUGGGGGUGGUGAAGGAGCCAGGGGUUCAUUCAUGGUUGGUUUCUGAUCAGGCAUCUUGGGAAUGGAUAAUGGAGGCAGCCGCUUUCAGGACAGGCAUGUCCAGGGGCUCCUCCCAGCCUCUACCCCGAAGUCCUCUUCCCAAGUGACCCCAGUGAUGUUUCCAUUGAGAUGCGCUCCUGGCUAUGGCAGGCACCUUCUCAACUUAUAUGUGGGAAGGGGUCCCCCAUGCUUGGGGGACCUAGGCAGCUGGCUUGGCCCAAGAGAGAUGAGGAUGGAGGCCAAACCAAAGGGGGGCGCCAAUCCCCUGUCCAACACCUUCUCACCAAAAGCUCCCGUUUGGCUGGAGGCAGACCCUGUGGCUCUGACCAGACUUCUCUGGCAGCAAUCCUCCACCAUUUGUAUCUUAAGAAGGCCCUCACCCUCUUUGAGUGGAGUCAGAGGAUGCCUCAGAUUCCAGAUGUAAGCAUCAGAACUGCUUUCUGUCAAGAGCUCCCUAAUUUUGGGAAAGAAGAGCCUGUCCCACACUGUCAGGCCCUGAGGUCAGCAGAUCUGCUCCUCCUUCCCGUGCGGUACGUCUAGGUGCUGAUGAGGGCAGUCCAGGGCGCUCUUGUUCUGGGACAGGCUCCAGUCCCCUUGCUCCAGCAGGUCUGGGGCAAGGAGGUCAGAGGUGGUGGGAGGGCCCCUGCUCUCUGUUUCCACUUCGUCUGGAUCCUUGCUGCUGCAAAGUGGCACUGAUUCUAGCUCUGUCCCUUCCUCCUUGGCUUUCCGGCUCCGAUGGGGCCAGUGGCAGGGUCCACUCCUACAAACUUGAUUGGAAGCCACAUUCCUCUGGCUCAAAUAUACUUCCAGCAUGUAGUAAACAGUCCAGAAGACGGUGAAACAGCCUACCAGCACCAGGGUCUGGGGCCGAGGCAAGCACCUACGUGAGGCACUGUUUCCCGAAGCCUACAGCCUUUCUCAGCCCAGGACAAUGAGCUCAGAAAGUCUUUUUCCUUCUAGGGACUGCCUUUUUCACCCAAACUGUUCCCUCUGCCCCCUCCCCCGACAAGGCCUGUCCUGUAAGAGUUAGGCUAGCAGGGUAGGAGCAAUGCUAUGAAACCACUGCUGGGACCCAGGUCUUCCCAGUCCUUCACCCCGCAGGUCACCCUGAGAAACACACUAAGAACUCCAUCCCCCAGACAGGACAGUCCCAUCUACCCGCAGCUUGAGUCUUGGCCCUAGUACCUUGAGGGUGUUGGGGGUGAUGGUGUAACCAUCUUCCUCAGGAAUUUUCAGCCCCGGUGGGCAGGGCAGGGCGAAGUCAUCGUGCAGGUAUUUUCCACUCAUGGCACUCUCUAACAGCCUGUGGAGAAGAAAAGAGGUGAGGAUGCCCCACUGACUAUGGUUCCUAUACCAUCUGCCCUCACCCAUUUUCCUGCCUUACAGGUGAAGACAGGGAAGCCCCACAGCAAAAAGGAGAGGCCCAGACUGUGAGUUCCCAGCCCGGGGCUCCAUCUACCGGCUUGACGCUGGAACUGGGAAGCACAGCUGGGGUUCAGAGGGCGAUGGGCUCCCUAGGCGGCCCUUCCCCUGUGACUGGCCUUCCCUCUGACACAUGCGGCUUUACCCACCUUUGUCUGUCCCUGAUGUCUACUGCACUCCACACAGAGCCAUAUAGGGUCAGCUGCCAUUGCCGGAGGAUGCCGACCUGGAAUGACUCAUCCCCUAGGGCAGCAAGGGGCAGCUCGUGAGCCACGCCCCUCUGUCAGCCAUGCCAGACAGCAGAGGCCCUGCCCGCCCUGCCACCCAAAGGGGCUCAGGCCACAUGGUCUGCUCCAGGAGCUGCCUCACUGUGUCCCACUGACCCCAGGUUCUGCAGAAGGGCCUCACUGGGUGCCCUUAGGGAUGGAAAGGGUUGAAAGGCUGUACUCCAAAGCAGAGUCUUGCUUUUCUCUCCCGUAUUUUGGGGGUUCAGCUGGGAUUAGAAAAAAAUGUCUUUCCACCAAAUUAAAGAAAGCUUUGAAAACCACUGGCCUAGAGAAUACCUAACUGACUGGAGGAUGGGAGGGUGGAGCUCAAUUUCCAGUCUAUAGGCUGAUACUAAAGAUAUUCACAAUUCAUGGAUAUUGUGGCCUUCACUGAUAUGGUGACCUUCCACAAGUCACCUCAAACCUCUGGGCCAGUUUAAAAAAAAUGGUGAAAUGAGUCCUGCCCUUACCUGCCUACCGGGGCUGGCCGAAGGAUGGUUAUACGUAAAAGGACUUGAAAUGUGGUUUCGACAAGGACUUUUUGUUGCUAUCCUGAGGAAAGAUGGAUGGGUCACUCCUCCAGGGAAUAUGAGAGGUAGUAUAAAUGAACAGUUGCAGAGAGCAAUGCCCAUUUCACGGAUGGGCACACUCUUGGCAUCAACUCUCUUGGUCCAAUGGCAACCCUAUAUAUUGCACACGGGACACUUUCUGUGGGGACUCUGAGAUGCAGAGGGACCAGAUAACAAGCAGGAAAGGUAGGGCCUGGUGUGAGGGCACGAGACUCACCGACAUCCCUGAUGACAAGCCUGUAGGUCCCUCGGGCUCUCUCCCCCCAGCAUCGCACAGUGGAGAAGGUCCAGUCAUUGAAGCCGUUGGGAUCCCUGAGGAAAGAACACAGCAGAAACAGGUGGAAGGCGUGGGCCAGAGAGCUGACCUUCCCCCAGCAACACUUUCUUACUGUAGUAGCCGUGGAAACAACCUGGGAGGGUGCCACGAGGGCUUCUCAGGUGCCCCUUUCCCCUGGGGUCUCAUGGAAGGAGGAAAUUGUGUUAACGUGGUGUGGUGGAAAAAGCAAGCAUGGAGCGCGCACAGGCUUGGAGUCCCACGGAUCUAGGUUUAUUCUUGUUCUCUUGGGCACUUACUAGCUCCAUGACUUGUUUUCUUUUUCUUUCUUUUUUUUUUUGGAGACAGGGUCUCACUCUGUUAUCCAAGCUGGAGUGCAGUGGCAUGAUCACAGCUCACUGCAGCCUUGACUUCCUGGGUUCAAGUGAUCCUCCCACCUCAGUCUCCUGAGUAGCUGGGACUACAGGCAUGUACCACCAUGCUCAGCUAAUCUUUAAAUUUUUUGUAGAGACAGGGUCUCACUUUGUUGCCCAGGCUGGUCUUGAACUCCUGAGUUCAAGUGAUUCUCCUGCCUUGACCUCCCAAAGUGCUGGGAUUACAGGUGUGAGCCACCACACCCAGCCAGUUUCCUCAUUUGUAAAAGGAGGUUACAAAGUCUAAUCUAGGGGGUUCUUAGAAGGAUUAGAGAACAUGUAUGUGAGGUGCAGGGCCUAGCGCUUGAAGAAGGUAUGUGACGAAAGGCUUCCAGCCGCCAGGGAUAGCCAGUGCCACAGUAGUUUAGGACAGUGCCAGGAUCCACUUCUUCCAUUUCUUUUCCCUGGAAAGGCCCUUGCUGAAAAGGUUGCUCAGGCCUCGGGCGGGUGUACAUACGAGUCCAUGCUGCGGGGGGCGCCGAUGAGGGACAUCAUGCCACUGGGGCAGAACAGCUUCAGCUCCAAGCUGCCGCGCCGUGGGUGAGUGAUGGAGACUGUCACUGCCACAUGCUCCAGGGUCUUCAGCCCUGACAUCUCCAGGUCCAUCCUGCUGACUGUAGAAAGUCAGGCUGGGCAGCUGGGAAACCAGCCCACAAACACGCCUUCACUUCACCCCCACGUACACAAAGACACACGCUCACUGAAGCCACAUACAAACAUCUACGGCAACCCUAACUGGGACCUCGCCUAUACUAGUAAAUGGAAUGGAGCUGCUGCUCUCAAGUUUACAACGUAGCUUCGAGUGCAGUUGGGAAGACGACACAUACCCAAGACACAAUAUAAGAAUCCAGCAGAGCAACUUCAAUCAUUCAUUCAUCCAAAACAUUAUUUACUGGGUACCUCCUCCAUUUCAGGCACUGUACUAGAUGCUGGGAAUAUAAAGAUAAGAUGGGCGUGGUCCCUGCCUCCUACCUGCAAGUGGAAAAUGAUAUGGUAUGGGAAAUAUACAUAAUUGAUAAGGGAAGAGAAAUAAGUCAGAUGGGUUUAGGCACACAGCAGUGAGACACACUGAAGGAAAUGAAUACAGAUCGGUAGACAGGGUUGGUAGAGGGCAUUCUAGGCAGUGGAAAAGGCAUGAACAAAGACGAAAUGCACACAUCUCACUGAAGAUGAUGCACAGUUAAUUUUUAAAAAAUGCUGGUGGAUAAAUUUCAAGCAAAUUAUGUGAGUGAAAAAAGCAAUCUCAAAAGAAGCAUAUAGCCAGGUGUGGUGGUGUGCACCUGUGGUCCCACUACCGGGGAGGGUGAGGUGGGAGGAUCGCUUGAGCCUGGGAGGUGGAGAUUGCAGUGAGCCAUGCUCAUGCUACCACACUCCAGCCUGGGCAACAGAACAAGACCCUGUCUCAAAGAAAAAAAAAAAAAGAAAAAGGAUGCGUAGCACACAAUUCCAUUUAGGUGAUGUUAAUUGAAGUACCUGCAGUGAUACAUAACAGAUAAAUGGGUGCCAGGGGCCAGGGACAGGGGAGGGGAUGGGUGUGGCCAGAAAGGGGUAACACAAAGGAGUCUUGUGAUAAUGGAAUUGUUCUGGAUCUUGGUUGUGGUGGUAGUUAUGCAAGGCUACAUGUGAUACAAUUGCAUACAGCUACACACGCGCAUACACAAAUAUUGACAGCAUGUGUAUCUGGUGAACUCCAAAUAAGCUCUAUGGAUUGUACCAAUGUCAAUUUCUUGGUUUUGAUAUUAUACUUUAAUUGUGUGAAACAUUAAGAUUGGGAGAAGGGUGCACGGGACUUCUCUUGUACAUUUCUUUGAAACCUCCUGUAAAUCUACAAUUAUUAAAACAAAAACAAAAAC